ACACUAUCAUUAACUGAAUCCAUAGGUUAAUGAGGCGAACCGGGGGAACUGAAACAUCUAAGUACCCCGAGGAAAAGAAAUCAACCGAGAUUCCCCCAGUAGCGGCGAGCGAACGGGGAGGAGCCCAGAGCCUGAAUCAGUGUGUGUGUUAGUGGAAGCGUCUGGAAAGGCGUGCGAUACAGGGUGACAGCCCCGUACACAAAAAUGCACAUAUUGUGAGCUCGAUGAGUAGGGCGGGACACGUGGUAUCCUGUCUGAAUAUGGGGGGACCAUCCUCCAAGGCUAAAUACUCCUGACUGACCGAUAGUGAACCAGUACCGUGAGGGAAAGGCGAAAAGAACCCCGGCGAGGGGAGUGAAAAAGAACCUGAAACCGUGUACGUACAAGCAGUGGGAGCCUCUUUAUGGGGUGACUGCGUACCUUUUGUAUAAUGGGUCAGCGACUUAUAUUCUGUAGCAAGGUUAACCGAAUAGGGGAGCCGAAGGGAAACCGAGUCUUAACUGGGCGUUAAGUUGCAGGGUAUAGACCCGAAACCCGGUGAUCUAGCCAUGGGCAGGUUGAAGGUUGGGUAACACUAACUGGAGGACCGAACCGACUAAUGUUGAAAAAUUAGCGGAUGACUUGUGGCUGGGGGUGAAAGGCCAAUCAAACCGGGAGAUAGCUGGUUCUCCCCGAAAGCUAUUUAGGUAGCGCCUCGUGAAUUCAUCUCCGGGGGUAGAGCACUGUUUCGGCAAGGGGGUCAUCCCGACUUACCAACCCGAUGCAAACUGCGAAUACCGGAGAAUGUUAUCACGGGAGACACACGGCGGGUGCUAACGUCCGUCGUGAAGAGGGAAACAACCCAGACCGCCAGCUAAGGUCCCAAAGUCAUGGUUAAGUGGGAAACGAUGUGGGAAGGCCCAGACAGCCAGGAUGUUGGCUUAGAAGCAGCCAUCAUUUAAAGAAAGCGUAAUAGCUCACUGGUCGAGUCGGCCUGCGCGGAAGAUGUAACGGGGCUAAACCAUGCACCGAAGCUGCGGCAGCGACACUAUGUGUUGUUGGGUAGGGGAGCGUUCUGUAAGCCUGUGAAGGUGGCCUGUGAGGGUUGCUGGAGGUAUCAGAAGUGCGAAUGCUGACAUAAGUAACGAUAAAGCGGGUGAAAAGCCCGCUCGCCGGAAGACCAAGGGUUCCUGUCCAACGUUAAUCGGGGCAGGGUGAGUCGACCCCUAAGGCGAGGCCGAAAGGCGUAGUCGAUGGGAAACAGGUUAAUAUUCCUGUACUUGGUGUUACUGCGAAGGGGGGACGGAGAAGGCUAUGUUGGCCGGGCGACGGUUGUCCCGGUUUAAGCGUGUAGGCUGGUUUUCCAGGCAAAUCCGGAAAACCAAGGCUGAGGCGUGAUGACGAGGCACUACGGUGCUGAAGCGACAAAUGCCCUGCUUCCAGGAAAAGCCUCUAAGCAUCAGGUAACAUCAAAUCGUACCCCAAACCGACACAGGUGGUCAGGUAGAGAAUACCAAGGCGCUUGAGAGAACUCGGGUGAAGGAACUAGGCAAAAUGGUGCCGUAACUUCGGGAGAAGGCACGCUGAUAUGUAGGUGAAGCGACUUGCUCGUGGAGCUGAAAUCAGUCGAAGAUACCAGCUGGCUGCAACUGUUUAUUAAAAACACAGCACUGUGCAAACACGAAAGUGGACGUAUACGGUGUGACGCCUGCCCGGUGCCGGAAGGUUAAUUGAUGGGGUUAGCGGUAACGCGAAGCUCUUGAUCGAAGCCCCGGUAAACGGCGGCCGUAACUAUAACGGUCCUAAGGUAGCGAAAUUCCUUGUCGGGUAAGUUCCGACCUGCACGAAUGGCGUAAUGAUGGCCAGGCUGUCUCCACCCGAGACUCAGUGAAAUUGAACUCGCUGUGAAGAUGCAGUGUACCCGCGGCAAGACGGAAAGACCCCGUGAACCUUUACUAUAGCUUGACACUGAACAUUGAGCCUUGAUGUGUAGGAUAGGUGGGAGGCUUUGAAGUGUGGACGCCAGUCUGCAUGGAGCCGACCUUGAAAUACCACCCUUUAAUGUUUGAUGUUCUAACGUUGGCCCGUAAUCCGGGUUGCGGACAGUGUCUGGUGGGUAGUUUGACUGGGGCGGUCUCCUCCUAAAGAGUAACGGAGGAGCACGAAGGUUGGCUAAUCCUGGUCGGACAUCAGGAGGUUAGUGCAAUGGCAUAAGCCAGCUUGACUGCGAGCGUGACGGCGCGAGCAGGUGCGAAAGCAGGUCAUAGUGAUCCGGUGGUUCUGAAUGGAAGGGCCAUCGCUCAACGGAUAAAAGGUACUCCGGGGAUAACAGGCUGAUACCGCCCAAGAGUUCAUAUCGACGGCGGUGUUUGGCACCUCGAUGUCGGCUCAUCACAUCCUGGGGCUGAAGUAGGUCCCAAGGGUAUGGCUGUUCGCCAUUUAAAGUGGUACGCGAGCUGGGUUUAGAACGUCGUGAGACAGUUCGGUCCCUAUCUGCCGUGGGCGCUGGAGAACUGAGGGGGGCUGCUCCUAGUACGAGAGGACCGGAGUGGACGCAUCACUGGUGUUCGGGUUGUCAUGCCAAUGGCACUGCCCGGUAGCUAAAUGCGGAAGAGAUAAGUGCUGAAAGCAUCUAAGCACGAAACUUGCCCCGAGAUGAGUUCUCCCUGACUCCUUGAGAGUCCUGAAGGAACGUUGAAGACGACGACGUUGAUAGGCCGGGUGUGUAAGCGCAGCGAUGCGUUGAGCUAACCGGUACUAAUGAACCGUGAGGCUUAACCUU
RNAcentral lists this ribosomal RNA (2761 nucleotides) under Escherichia coli KTE118. RNAcentral's name for it is "bacterial LSU rRNA". It matches the Rfam family "Bacterial large subunit ribosomal RNA". Lineage: Bacteria; Pseudomonadati; Pseudomonadota; Gammaproteobacteria; Enterobacterales; Enterobacteriaceae. The record is from RNAcentral.